Long non-coding RNA from Lynx canadensis (Canada lynx), 285 nucleotides. RefSeq lists it as uncharacterized. The record is from RefSeq and is a predicted model, not a curated record. The transcript has 3 exons. Lineage: Eukaryota; Metazoa; Chordata; Mammalia; Carnivora; Felidae.
GCUCAGUAGCGUUGCGUUUGGCCCCGGAGGUCAGGAAUGAUGGUGGUCAUGGGAGAAAGAGGUCUUGGGAAUACUACGGUGGUGAGUACGUGAAGUUAAGGACCCGGUAAAAUUGGCCUCUGAUACGCUUAAGCAAAUUCAAACUCGACGAGAGCUGGCCCAGUUGCAAGCAACCGCCCAGUUGCAGACCUCCCAAAUCAGAACUGGCAUCUUAGCAAGAUCUGCAGCAAGAGCAUCCAAGAUUGAAAACGUGGUGAAGAGUUGACAGGAAGACUAUGAACUGCC